GGGAUUGCCCUAGUAACGGCGAGUGAAGCGGCAACAGCUCAAAUUUGAAAUCUGGCUCUUUCAGGGUCCGAGUUGUAAUUUGCAGAGGGCGCUUUGGCGUUGGCAGCGGUCCAAGUUCUUUGGAACAGGACGUCACAGAGGGUGAGAAUCCCGUACGUGGUCGCUAGCCUUCGCCGUGUAAAGCCCCUUCGACGAGUCGAGUUGUUUGGGAAUGCAGCUCUAAAUGGGAGGUAAAUUUCUUCUAAAGCUAAAUACUGGCCAGAGACCGAUAGCGCACAAGUAGAGUGAUCGAAAGAUGAAAAGCACUUUGGAAAGAGAGUCAAAUAGCACGUGAAAUUGUUGAAAGGGAAGCGCUUGCAGCCAGACUUGCCUGUAGUUGCUUAUCUGGACUUUUGUCCGGUGCACUCUUCUGCGGGCAGGCCAGCAUCAGUUUGGGCGGUUGGAUAAAGGUCUCUGUCAUGUACCUCCUUUCGGGGAGGCCUUAUAGGGGAGACGACAUGCAACCAGCCUGGACUGAGGUCCGCGCAUCUGCUAGGAUGCUGGCGUAAUGGCUGUAAGCGGCCCGUCUUGAAACACGGACCAAGGAGUCUAACAUCUAUGCGAGUGUUUGGGUGUCAAGCCCAGACGCGUAAUGAAAGUGAACGGAGGUGGGAACCCUUUGGGUGCACCAUCGACCGAUCCUGAUGUCUUCGGAUGGAUUUGAGUAAGAGCAUGGCUGUUGGGACCCGAAAGAUGGUGAACUAUGCUUGAAUAGGGUGAAGCCAGAGGAAACUCUGGUGGAGGCUCGCAGCGGUUCUGACGUGCAAAUCGAUCGUCAAAUUUGGGCAUAGGGGCG
Molecule: ribosomal RNA, 835 nt
Filed under: Phaeosphaeria oryzae
Lineage: Eukaryota; Fungi; Ascomycota; Dothideomycetes; Pleosporales; Phaeosphaeriaceae
Also listed under: 2 other names
Description: eukaryotic LSU rRNA
Rfam family: Eukaryotic large subunit ribosomal RNA
Source: RNAcentral